UACAGAGGGUGCGAGCGUUAAUCGGAAUUACUGGGCGUAAAGCGCACGUAGUCGGCUUUGCAAGUCGGGUGUGAAAUCCCCAGGCUUAACCUGGGAACUGCAUUCGAGACUGCAUUGCUAGAGUAUGGGAGAGGGAAGUGGAAUUUCCGGUGUAGCGGUGAAAUGCGUAGAUAUCGGAAGGAACAUCAGUGGCGAAAGCGACUUCCUGGACCAAUACUGACGCUCAUGUGCGAAAGCGUGGGGAGCAAACAGG
Molecule: ribosomal RNA, 253 nt
Filed under: uncultured bacterium
Lineage: Bacteria
Description: partial 16S ribosomal RNA
Rfam family: Bacterial small subunit ribosomal RNA
Source: RNAcentral